GACGAACGCUGGCGGCGUGCUUAACACAUGCAAGUCGAACGGAAAGGCCCUGCUUUUGUGGGGUGCUCGAGUGGCGAACGGGUGAGUAACACGUGAGUAACCUGCCCUUGACUUUGGGAUAACUUCAGGAAACUGGGGCUAAUACCGGAUCGGAGCUCCUGCUGCAUGGUGGGGGUGGGAAAGUUUCGGCGGUUGGGGAUGGACUCGCGGCUUAUCAGCUUGUUGGUGGGGGAGUGGCUUACCAAGGCUUUGACGGGUAGCCGGCCUGUGAGGGUGACCGGCCACAUUGGGACUGAGAGACGGACCAGUCUCGUACGGGAGGCAGCAGUGGGGAAUAUUGCACAAUGGGCGCAAGCCUGAUGCAGCAACGCCGCGUGUGUGAUGACGGCCUUCGGGUUGUAAACCGCUUUCGCCUGUGACGAAGCGUGAGUGACGGUAAUGGGUAAAGAAGCACCGGCUAACUACGUG
This 468-nucleotide ribosomal RNA is filed under the name uncultured bacterium. Its description in RNAcentral is "partial 16S ribosomal RNA". It matches the Rfam family "Bacterial small subunit ribosomal RNA", at positions 28 to 507 of the family's 1533-position model. The record is from RNAcentral.